UUCAGUAAAAAUUCUGUAGAAGGCUGAACAUUGCAAUAUGCACUUCUGAAGAUCUCAGCAAACCAGUGGACUCAUCCUGCUCAGCUCAAUGGCUAUAAUGUUGCUUUCUUGUUUCAUGCUUGUUAAUUAUGCUGAAUGUAAAAAUUUUGUAGAAGGCUGAACAUUGCAAUAUGCACUUCUGAAGAUCUCAUCAAACCAGUGGACUCAUCCUGCUCAGCUCAAUGACUAUAAUGUUGCUUAUCUUGUUUCAUGCUCGUUAAUUCUGCUGAAUGUAAAAAUUGUGUAGAAGGCUGAACAUUGCAAUAUGCACUUCUGAAGAUGUCAGCAAACCAGUGGACUCAUCCUGCUCAGCUUGAUGUCUAUAAUGUUGCUUUCUUGUUUCAUGCUCAUUAAUUCUGCUGAA
Molecule: long non-coding RNA, 403 nt
Organism: Anneissia japonica
Lineage: Eukaryota; Metazoa; Echinodermata; Crinoidea; Comatulida; Comatulidae
Exons: 3
Source: RefSeq, a predicted model, not a curated record